RNAcentral lists this ribosomal RNA (715 nucleotides) under Tubulicrinis chaetophorus. RNAcentral describes it as "eukaryotic LSU rRNA". The stretch from base 306 to 459 matches the Rfam family "5.8S ribosomal RNA". Lineage: Eukaryota; Fungi; Basidiomycota; Agaricomycetes; Hymenochaetales; Tubulicrinaceae. The record is from RNAcentral.
UAGAGGAAGUAAAAGUCGUAACAAGGUUUCCGUAGGUGAACCUGCGGAAGGAUCAUUAACGAGUUCUUUGAAAGUGGGCUUCGAUGCUGGCCACCCUCUGGGAGGCACUGUGCUCGGCCUCACUCAAAUCCACUCAACCCCUGUGCACUUUCCUCGAGUCCGUGGUCCUCCGUCAUGGGAGUCGCUCCUGCCCUCGUCAGAGGGUAGUUGAGCUGGGAUCGCGUGUGGCUCGGGGCCCUUUACACAAACACCUAUGUCAGUUUAGUAGAAUGUGUCUACGCCUCUGGCGUGAACAAAUCAAAUACAACUUUCAACAACGGAUCUCUUGGCUCUCGCAUCGAUGAAGAACGCAGCGAAAUGCGAUAAGUAAUGUGAAUUGCAGAAUUCAGUGAAUCAUCGAAUCUUUGAACGCACCUUGCGCUCCUUGGUAUUCCGAGGAGCAUGCCUGUUUGAGUGUCAUGAACAUCAUCAACCUCCACCGCUUUGCGGAGGAGGCUUGGAUUUGGGGGUUUAUUGCUGGUCCUUCGGGUCGGCUCCCCUGGAAUGAAUUAGCUAGACGAUUUCCAUCUCGAGACAGCGGUUCACGGUGUGAUAAUGUUUCACNGUGGUAAUCCCGUGAGGGGGAGUGUGUCAAGCUUCUAAAUUGUCCGCGAGGACUUUGACUCAUCUGACCUCAAAUCAGGUAGGACUACCCGCUGAACUUAAGCAUAUCAAU